This is a long non-coding RNA of Fukomys damarensis (Damara mole-rat), 236 nucleotides long. RefSeq lists it as uncharacterized. The record is from RefSeq and is a predicted model, not a curated record. The transcript has 3 exons. Lineage: Eukaryota; Metazoa; Chordata; Mammalia; Rodentia; Bathyergidae.
GGCUGUGAAUGUACUUAAUGCUGCUGAACUGCACACUUGGUCAAGUUUUCGAGGCCGUGGUGAUGGUCCUGGCUGGGCCAGGGCAGAAGGAGCCCGGUGUGGACUUCAAUCAAGGGGGCACUGCCAGGACAAGACCCUGCUUCGCUUCCUGGAUGCAGUUGAUGGUGAUUGAACCCAGGGAACUCAUGCAUGCUUCACAAGUUUUAUACCACUGAGCUAUAUGCUCCGGCUUCUUC